Molecule: non-coding RNA, 27 nt
Filed under: Mus musculus (house mouse)
Lineage: Eukaryota; Metazoa; Chordata; Mammalia; Rodentia; Muridae
Source: RNAcentral
UCUGUAAUGAGGAUGGUGUUCUAGGGU